Long non-coding RNA from Mus musculus (house mouse), 1917 nucleotides. RefSeq annotates it as predicted gene, 25404. Lineage: Eukaryota; Metazoa; Chordata; Mammalia; Rodentia; Muridae. The transcript is spliced from 3 exons. The record is from RefSeq and is a predicted model, not a curated record.
GAAUGCCCAGAAAUACAUUCAGGAGAGCUGGGAAGAACUGAGCAAGCCUCCAGACCUCAGCAAGUGCCAGUACUGUAUCUGUCUACAGACAGGUUUUAGGUAGGCUCGGUGUCAGUUGCCUAUAGCUUUUGUGACCAUUCCACCCCACUCUUGCCCCAUACCCUGAACUAAAGUCCAACAGGCAAUGGGUGCCCUUGGGCUCAAGAAAUGAGUCCCGGCUUUGUCCUCAAUUGGUCAGCAGGACUUUCUGGACAAGAUGGAACUUUCCAGGUGAGACAGGGUCCAGAUUAUCAUGGAAUCAAGUCAAGAAUUCUGUCAGUCUGUAUCCCCUCUCUGGGCCUACUUCCUCUCAUCUGGGUUCCCUCUGCACUCUCCCCAAAUUUUUACUGCCUAAAAAUUACUUGGUUUAUAAAUAUUUGUGUAGAUGGGUAGAGUUGUGUAGGCGUAUAAGUCCGCAUAUAUGCACAUGUGUGUUAUGUGCUGUGAUGAGCAACUGCAUGGACCAGCAUCCCACAGUGUUGCCGGUCUGCUGCUGUCAGUCAGCAUCACCCUGGACGUUACUACUAUAUCCUGCGGUGCCUCUUAACAGACUGUGGGAACUAGGGAUGGAGCUGCUGGAUGGAGCUGGCCCCUAGUGUUCUGUUUACCCGAUGCCUCAUCAUUCACACCAGCACACAGGCAGCUGCAGUAACUUCAGAUCUGAGCACCCAGCCUGCUGUAAAUCAGGAGGGUAGAGUCUGUGGCUGGAAAGGAAAACUCGGCUCCUUUCUUCUUGUUUCUUCCAAUCAAGCUGUGGGGUUUUCUGAGUGGGGGGAGGUCUGUGUCUCCAGCCUUCUUCCACACAGUCAUGCUUUUCACAGCUAUCUGAUGUGAAUGGCUGCCUGCUGGCUAUUGGCAUCUUAAAAAUGUUUAUAUGUGCAAUCCCCAGACCGUUAUCUCCCUUCCACAUGGGGCCCACUUGAGCAGUCAGCCAGUUACCCUCGUAUUGACUUUCUUUCUUCCUGUUGAUAUGACUGACAGGAGAGUCUCUGCUGGAUAUACUCGAUUAGUCUCCUGGGAACUUGGUAAAAGUUGCAGGCAUGCUGUCGGGGCGAGAGGGAGACAAUCCUGCAGCAGAAGUUUAUGAGAUGAGAGUUUCUCUUCUGAUGUCCCCUUAAUUUCCAGUUUUCCCAUUCUGUCUCAAGAGGAAAGGCACUACUCCUAGUUAGUGCCAGUGGAAGAUGAGGAAAAUGGAGGUUUAGAAGCUAUUGUUUAAAAUGACUUGAACAGUGCUCGCUUCGGCAGCACAUAUACUAAAAUUGGAAAGAUACAGAGAAGAUUAACAUGGCCCCUGUGCAAGGAUGACAUGCAAGUUCGUGAAGCAUUCCAUAUUUUUACAAAGUUUGGAGCUGAGAUGAAAGGAUGAGCCAUACAGAGACUGCUGCACCCGGGAAUCCAUCCCAUAAUCAGCCACCAAACCCAGACACUAUUGCUUACACCAGCAAGAUUUUGCUGAAAGGACCCUGAUAUAGCUGUCUCUUGGGAGGCUAUGCCAGUGCCUGGCAAACACAGAAGUGGAUGCUCACAGUCAGCUAUUGGAUGGAACACAGGGCCCCCAAUGGAGGAGCUAGAGAAAGUACCCAAGGAGCUAAAGGGAUCUGCAAUCCUAUAGGUGGAACAACAAUAUGAACACUAAUAGAGCUCGUGUCUCUAGCUGCAUAUGUAACAGAAGAUGGCCUAGGCGGCCAUCAUUGGGAAGAGAGGCCCCUUGGUCUUACAAACUUUAUAUGCCCCAGUACAGGGGAACACCAGGGCCAAGAAGUGAGAGUGGGUGGGUAGGGGAACAGGGGGCAAGGAGGGUAUAGGGGACUUUUGGGAUAGCAUUUGAAAUGUAAAUGAAGAAAAUACCUAAUAAAAAUUGGAAAAAAAUGACUUGAA